AAUAAAAGAAUAUUGACCUUUUGUCUGCCACAACCUUUAUGGCCACAAGUGAGGCCAGUACAUUUUGGUCCCACGAACAGGAUUUGACCAAUCUCAGAAAAGUGCCACCCCAACACUAGUUUUAAAACAUUUUCGGAAAAAAAAAUUAUAAUGGCUACAAGUGCUCUAAGAUAAAUGUAUGGAUUCGACCACACUCGGGCCUUUCCCUAGAAGGAGAUGGAGUGUUUUGCAAACCUUGCGGCAAACCGAUUUCAUGUACUAAAAAGUACUUUAUUGAUCAACAUUGUGGAACGCCUCUUCAUAAAAGGAAUACUGAACAGACUAACUCGACUAGAUUGUUUCAAACUCCUCUGAGAGAAAGUUUAGGCUGUUCAAAAAAAGCGCAGGAAGACAAUUUUAAAUUUGAAUUAUGUCAGAUGAUGGUCGCAACUAGCAUUCCUUUAAAUAAAGUUAAUCAUCAUAGUUUUAAAGCUUUUUUCAAAAAUAAAUUUAAUAAAUCUGUGCCGGAUGAGAGCCCAUUGAGAAAAUUAACUCUAGACAAAUGUCAUAUUGAAUGCAUUUCAAAAAUUAAGGCAGAGUUGGAGGGAAAAUGUUUAUAUAUUAUUGUACGUAUGCGGCAGAUAUAUAGCUAAUUUGAUGGUUGGGAUUUUGAGUGAAAUUUUUUCAAACAGACCUUAUGUAAUUGCUGUUAAAGAAUUAGAAAAAAACUAACAAUUUAACUAUUAGUAGAUUUAUACAGGACAGUUUAACAAACCUUUUCUUACCCAAUGCCAUCCCAACCAAUAAAAUAAUAUUAAUACUUUCAGAUGCUGCGGCAUAUAUGUUAAAAGCU
Molecule: long non-coding RNA, 832 nt
Organism: Dendroctonus ponderosae (mountain pine beetle)
Lineage: Eukaryota; Metazoa; Arthropoda; Insecta; Coleoptera; Curculionidae
Exons: 2
Source: RefSeq, a predicted model, not a curated record